UGGGGAAUAUUGGACAAUGGGGGAACCCUGAUCCAGCCAUGCCGCGUGUGUGAAGAAGGCCUUUUGGUUGUAAAGCACUUUAAGCGAGGAGGAGGCGCUCUAGGAUAAUACCCUAGAUGCGUGGACGUUACUCGCAGAAUAAGCACCGGCUAACCCUGUGCCAGCAGCCGCGGUAAUACAGAGGGUGCGAGCGUUAAUCGGAUUUACUGGGCGUAAAGCGCGCGUAGGUGGCUAAUUAAGUCAAAUGUGAAAUCCCCGAGCUUAACUUGGGAAUUGCAUUCGAUACUGGUUAGCUAGAGUAUGGGAGAGGAUGGUAGAAUUCCAGGUGUAGCGGUGAAAUGCGUAGAGAUCUGGAGGAAUACCGAUGGCGAAGGCAGCCAUCUGGCCUAAUACUGACACUGAGGUGCGAAAGCAUGGGAGCAAACAGGAUUAGAUACCCUGGUAGUCCAUGCCGUAAACGAUGUCUACUAGCCGUUGGGGCCUUUGAGGCUUUAGUGGCGCAGCUAACGCGAUAAGUAGACCGCCUGGGGAGUACGGUCGCAAGACUAAAACUCAAAGGAAUUGACGGGGUCAUAGCUGUUUCCUG
This 586-nucleotide ribosomal RNA is filed under the name uncultured bacterium. RNAcentral's name for it is "partial 16S ribosomal RNA". It matches the Rfam family "Bacterial small subunit ribosomal RNA", at positions 355 to 1376 of the family's 1533-position model. The record is from RNAcentral.